GGAAGGAAAGAAGCAAGGAAGUAGUAUUGCAGCAUCCCUCGGCUCGUCGAAAGACGCGCGCCGCCAUACGCGUACGGGGGUUGAGGUUCGAACUCGGGCAUGCGCAGUACGGUUGGGACUUCAUCGCCGUUCCCCACUACUUAUCCAAACUGUUGAGAGCACAUUUAGUUCUGGAUGUGGGGCGGGAAAGUGGAGAGAAGGGUUUGGUAUACCCCACCAUCACCGAAAAAUCUUUCUUUCCUGUUGGUGUUCGUUCGACCAACGUCGUCUUCCAUUCGCCCAUUUCCGUGAAGACUCGGUUAAUAUCGGUAUCUCCCCACCAUUGAACGAUAAGCGCGAGGUCGCGUAAAAUUUCCCUUUCCACUGGAGCGGGUUGGUCCUGGACUGGCGCUCGGUAUCCUGGCUUCCCGCCAUGGUCGCUCGUCGGGAUGCCGAGGAGUGCCGAGCCAGGCCGAGUAGUUCACGAGCUUUGAAACGCGGGUCGGCAGCUGUCGGCUCGUUCAGCAACUAUCCGGGGCCACGGACAAAGAAUAUACUCUCUUGCCGAGCAAUACAGUCACCGCGCGCGCGGCGAGAGCACACACUCAGCACGGGGCAGCACGCCGUGAAAACCAAAGCAACAAGAGCCACUGUGACACCACCAGCACCACCACCAUUGCUAACAGCGGUAGUAGAGGCAGAGGCAGAGGCAGCGGCCAGAGGCAGAGGCAGAGGCAGAGGUAGAGGCAGAGGAAGAGGCAGCACCACCACCACUACCACUACCAUCGCCGCCACCGCCACCACCACCGCCGGCGACGCCUCCUGGCAAAGCCGGUGGCACGGUAGUGUCCUCGAGAGCACGCCGUGCACGCAUCGGUGCUGCGAAUGUUCCACGGGUCUCUCUCUCGCGACGGCGUGAGUCGACGAGAACGCGCGUCGUGUCGUCGUCGUCGUCGCCGAGUGACGGAAACUACGGCGCCAACCCCCACCGAAAUACUCCUUUCUACGAAUACUACUACUACUACUACUACUACUACCAAUAUUACUACUACUACUACUACUACUACGAAUACUACGAAUACUACUAUAGGGCUCGGUUUAGUCGCUUCGUGGAUGCUACGCGCAGUGUAUGGGAAACAGAUCGUACAAAUCAAUCGCCUUCUAACAAGCCGCAUUAACCUCAAGUGAUUUAUAUUUUCUUACGAAGCGCGAAAGAAGUAAUUAGUGUGUUUAUAUCGUAUAAAAGAAAAAAAAAGAAGAAGAAGAAAAUAAAAAACAAAAAAAAAA
Long non-coding RNA from Polistes canadensis, 1266 nucleotides. RefSeq lists it as uncharacterized. Lineage: Eukaryota; Metazoa; Arthropoda; Insecta; Hymenoptera; Vespidae. The record is from RefSeq and is a predicted model, not a curated record. The transcript has 3 exons.